AUUGAACGCUGGCGGCAUGCUUUACACAUGCAAGUCGAACGGUAACAGGCCUUCGGGUGCUGACGAGUGGCGAACGGGUGAGUAAUGCAUCGGAACGUGCCCAGAGGUGGGGGAUAACGCAGCGAAAGCUGUGCUAAUACCGCAUGUGAUCUGAGGAUGAAAGCGGGGGACCAGGCAGCAAUGUUUGGCCUCGCGCCUUUGGAGCGGCCGAUGUCAGAUUAGGUAGUUGGUGGGGUAAAGGCCUACCAAGCCGACGAUCUGUAGCUGGUCUGAGAGGACGACCAGCCACACGGGGACUGAGACACGGCCCAGACUCCUACGGGAGGCAGCAGUGGGGAAUUUUGGACAAUGGGCGCAAGCCUGAUCCAGCAAUGCCGCGUGCGGGAAGAAGGCCUUCGGGUUUUAAACCGCUUUUGUACGGAACGAAAAGGCUCUGGCUAAUACCUGGGGCUGAUGACGGUACCGUAAGAAUAAGCACCGGCUAACUACGUG
RNAcentral lists this ribosomal RNA (492 nucleotides) under uncultured bacterium. Its description in RNAcentral is "partial 16S ribosomal RNA". It matches the Rfam family "Bacterial small subunit ribosomal RNA", at positions 30 to 507 of the family's 1533-position model. The record is from RNAcentral.